CCUACGUGAGGCAGCAGUGGGGAAUAUUGGGCAAUGGGCGCAAGCCUGACCCAGCAACGCCGCGUGAAGGAAGAAGGCUUUCGGGUUGUAAACUUCUUUUCUCAGGGACGAAGAAAGUGACGGUACCUGAGGAAUAAGCCACGGCUAACUACGUGCCAGCAGCCGCGGUAAUACGUAGGUGGCAAGCGUUAGCCGGAUUUACUGGGUGUAAAGGGAGUGUAGGCGGGAAAGCAAGUCAGAUGUGAAACCCACGGGCUCAACCUGUGGCCUGCAUUUGAAACUGGUUUUCUUGAGUACUGGAGAGGCAGACGGAAUUCCUAGUGUAGCGGUGAAAUGCGUAGAUAUUAGGAGGAACACCAGUGGCGAAGGCGGUCUGCUGGACAGCAACUGACGCUGAGGCGCGAAAGCGUGGGGAGCAAACAGGAUUAGAUACCCCUGUAGUC
RNAcentral lists this ribosomal RNA (443 nucleotides) under uncultured bacterium. Its description in RNAcentral is "partial 16S ribosomal RNA". It matches the Rfam family "Bacterial small subunit ribosomal RNA", at positions 338 to 795 of the family's 1533-position model. The record is from RNAcentral.